CCUACGGGUCGCAGCAGUAGGGAAUCUUCCGCAAUGGACGAAAGUCUGACGGAGCAACGCCGCGUGAGUGAUGAAGGCUUUCGGGUCGUAAAACUCUGCUGUUAGGGAAGAACAAGUGCUAGUUGAAUAAGCUGGCACCUUGACGGUACCUAACCAGAAAGCCACGGCUAACUACGUGCCAGCAGCCGCGGUAAUACGUAGGUGGCAAGCGUUAUCCGGAAUUAUUGGGCGUAAAGCGCGCGCAGGUGGUUUCUUAAGUCUGAUGUGAAAGCCCACGGCUCAACCGUGGAGGGUCAUUGGAAACUGGGAGACUUGAGUGCAGAAGAGGAAAGUGGAAUUCCAUGGGUAGCGGUGAAAUGUGUAGAGAUAUGGAGGGACACCAGUGGCGAAGGUGACUUUCUGGUCUGUAUCUGACACUGAGGCGCGAAAGCGUGGGGAGCAAACAGGAUUAGAUACCCGCGUAGUC
Molecule: ribosomal RNA, 466 nt
Filed under: uncultured bacterium
Lineage: Bacteria
Description: bacterial SSU rRNA
Rfam family: Bacterial small subunit ribosomal RNA
Source: RNAcentral